Molecule: ribosomal RNA, 1455 nt
Filed under: Streptococcus thermophilus
Lineage: Bacteria; Bacillati; Bacillota; Bacilli; Lactobacillales; Streptococcaceae
Description: bacterial SSU rRNA
Rfam family: Bacterial small subunit ribosomal RNA
Source: RNAcentral
GGGCAAGGCCGGCGUGCCUAUACAUGCAAGUAGAACGCUGAAGAGAGGAGCUUGCUCUUCUUGGAUGAGUUGCGAACGGGUGAGUAACGCGUAGGUAACCUGCCUUGUAGCGGGGGAUAACUAUUGGAAACGAUAGCUAAUACCGCAUAACAAUGGAUGACACAUGUCAUUUAUUUGAAAGGGGCAAUUGCUCCACUACAAGAUGGACCUGCGUUGUAUUAGCUAGUAGGUGAGGUAAUGGCUCACCUAGGCGACGAUACAUAGCCGACCUGAGAGGGUGAUCGGCCACACUGGGACUGAGACACGGCCCAGACUCCUACGGGAGGCAGCAGUAGGGAAUCUUCGGCAAUGGGGGCAACCCUGACCGAGCAACGCCGCGUGAGUGAAGAAGGUUUUCGGAUCGUAAAGCUCUGUUGUAAGUCAAGAACGGGUGUGAGAGUGGAAAGUUCACACUGUGACGGUAGCUUACCAGAAAGGGACGGCUAACUACGUGCCAGCAGCCGCGGUAAUACGUAGGUCCCGAGCGUUGUCCGGAUUUAUUGGGCGUAAAGCGAGCGCAGGCGGUUUGAUAAGUCUGAAGUUAAAGGCUGUGGCUCAACCAUAGUUCGCUUUGGAAACUGUCAAACUUGAGUGCAGAAGGGGAGAGUGGAAUUCCAUGUGUAGCGGUGAAAUGCGUAGAUAUAUGGAGGAACACCGGUGGCGAAAGCGGCUCUCUGGUCUGUAACUGACGCUGAGGCUCGAAAGCGUGGGGAGCGAACAGGAUUAGAUACCCUGGUAGUCCACGCCGUAAACGAUGAGUGCUAGGUGUUGGAUCCUUUCCGGGAUUCAGUGCCGCAGCUAACGCAUUAAGCACUCCGCCUGGGGAGUACGACCGCAAGGUUGAAACUCAAAGGAAUUGACGGGGGCCCGCACAAGCGGUGGAGCAUGUGGUUUAAUUCGAAGCAACGCGAAGAACCUUACCAGGUCUUGACAUCCCGAUGCUAUUUCUAGAGAUAGAAAGUUACUUCGGUACAUCGGUGACAGGUGGUGCAUGGUUGUCGUCAGCUCGUGUCGUGAGAUGUUGGGUUAAGUCCCGCAACGAGCGCAACCCCUAUUGUUAGUUGCCAUCAUUCAGUUGGGCACUCUAGCGAGACUGCCGGUAAUAAACCGGAGGAAGGUGGGGAUGACGUCAAAUCAUCAUGCCCCUUAUGACCUGGGCUACACACGUGCUACAAUGGUUGGUACAACGAGUUGCGAGUCGGUGACGGCGAGCUAAUCUCUUAAAGCCAAUCUCAGUUCGGAUUGUAGGCUGCAACUCGCCUACAUGAAGUCGGAAUCGCUAGUAAUCGCGGAUCAGCACGCCGCGGUGAAUACGUUCCCGGGCCUUGUACACACCGCCCGUCACACCACGAGAGUUUGUAACACCCGAAGUCGGUGAGGUAACCUUUUGGAGCCAGCCGCAUAAGGGGAUCAGAG